Molecule: long non-coding RNA, 335 nt
Filed under: Triticum aestivum (bread wheat)
Lineage: Eukaryota; Viridiplantae; Streptophyta; Magnoliopsida; Poales; Poaceae
Description: long non-coding RNA (TAES_LNC018124)
Source: RNAcentral
UCAGCAAGUCGAGCAGUGAAUUGGAUAUACUGAAUACAGAAUUUGUAUACAACAGAGCGUGUGUUAAUACUUACUGUUUUAAUAUACUUGUCACAGUUUGAGCUUGUUCUGCAAUCUCAUUAGUCAUUACUUUGUCAGUGUUUUAGGCGCAUUUGAUGGAUGUUAGGUUACAAAAAUUGUAUGAAAAUAUGGUCCAAGCUUGUCAGUCAUCCUGUUAUCUUUCAGAAAGGACCAUAUAUUGUUGCUAAGUCUUUAAUCAUUACUUUGUAGCAGAAAUUGUAUGAAAAAUAAUGGUUAAUUCAACCUUGUCAGUCAUCAUGCUGUCAUCUUUCUGA